UAACUGAAGAGUUUGAUCCUGGCUCAGAGUGAACGCUGGCGGCAGGCCUAACACAUGCAAGUCGAGCGGCAGCACAGGAGAGCUUGCUCUCUGGGUGGCGAGCGGCGGACGGGUGAGGAAUACAUCGGAAUCUGCCCAGUUGUGGGGGAUAACGUAGGGAAACUUACGCUAAUACCGCAUACGACCUACGGGUGAAAGCAGGGGACCUUCGGGCCUUGCGCGACUGGAUGAGCCGAUGUCGGAUUAGCUUGUUGGUGAGGUAAAGGCUC
RNAcentral lists this non-coding RNA (269 nucleotides) under Arenimonas donghaensis DSM 18148 = HO3-R19. RNAcentral's name for it is "Bacterial small subunit ribosomal RNA". It matches the Rfam family "Bacterial small subunit ribosomal RNA", at positions 1 to 266 of the family's 1533-position model. Lineage: Bacteria; Pseudomonadati; Pseudomonadota; Gammaproteobacteria; Lysobacterales; Lysobacteraceae. The record is from Rfam by way of RNAcentral.